UGGGGAAUUUUGGACAAUGGGGGAAACCCUGAUCCAGCCAUCCCGCGUGUGCGAUGAAGGCCUUCGGGUUGUAAAGCACUUUUGGCAGGAAAGAAACGUCAUGGGUUAAUACCCCGUGAAACUGACGGUACCUGCAGAAUAAGCACCGGCUAACUACGUGCCAGCAGCCGCGGUAGUACGUAGGGUGCAAGCGUUAAUCGGAAUUACUGGGCGUAAAGCGUGCGCAGGCGGUUCGGAAAGAAAGAUGUGAAAUCCCAGAGCUCAACUUUGGAACUGCAUUUUUAACUACCGGGCUAGAGCGUGUCAGAGGGAGGUGGAAUUCCGCGUGUAGCAGUGAAAUGCGUAGAUAUGCGGGGGAACACCGAUGGCGAAGGCAGCCUCCUGGGAUAACACUGACGCUCAUGCACGAAAGCGUGGGGAGCAAACAGG
This 429-nucleotide ribosomal RNA is filed under the name Acidobacteriota bacterium. RNAcentral describes it as "Acidobacteria bacterium partial 16S ribosomal RNA". It matches the Rfam family "Bacterial small subunit ribosomal RNA", at positions 355 to 776 of the family's 1533-position model. Lineage: Bacteria; Pseudomonadati; Acidobacteriota. The record is from RNAcentral.